UACGGAGGGGGCAAGCGUUAUUCGGAAUUAUUGGGCGUAAAGGGCGCGUAGGCGGCUAGAUGUGUCAAAGGUGAAAUCCCUCGGCUCAACUGAGGAACUGCCUUUGAAACUGCCUGGCUUGAGGCCGGGAGAGGGUAGCGGAAUUCCCAGUGUAGCGGUGAAAUGCGUAGAUAUUGGGAGGAACACCAGUGGCGAAGGCGGCUACCUGGACCGGUUCUGACGCUGAGGCGCGAAAGCGUGGGUAGCAAACAGG
This 253-nucleotide ribosomal RNA is filed under the name uncultured bacterium. RNAcentral's name for it is "partial 16S ribosomal RNA". It matches the Rfam family "Bacterial small subunit ribosomal RNA", at positions 524 to 776 of the family's 1533-position model. The record is from RNAcentral.